Molecule: non-coding RNA, 152 nt
Organism: Janthinobacterium sp. KBS0711
Lineage: Bacteria; Pseudomonadati; Pseudomonadota; Betaproteobacteria; Burkholderiales; Oxalobacteraceae
Source: Rfam
CCGGAUGUACGACCAUCUGUCACCUACUUGAGUGUGCGUCGCCGGUAACGGCGGGGUGCAAAGCCUCAGGGACAACGUACCCCCAUUCUUUUUCGGCAGCCCGGCGUGCGAACGCUUGGCUGGAGACUGCGAGCAGCGAUGCGGUCCAGGGG